AUCAAUAAGCGGAGGAAAAGAAACCAACCGGGGAUUGCCUCAGUAACGGCGAGUGAAGCGGCAAGAGCUCAAAUUUGAAAGCUGGCUCCUUCGGAGUCCGCAUUGUAAUUUGCAGAGGAUGCUUUGGGUGCGGCCCCCGUCUAAGUGCCCUGGAACGGGCCGUCAGAGAGGGUGAGAAUCCCGUCUUGGGCGGGGUGUCCGUGCCCGUGUAAAGCUCCUUCGACGAGUCGAGUUGUUUGGGAAUGCAGCUCUAAAUGGGUGGUAAAUUUCAUCUAAAGCUAAAUACUGGCCGGAGACCGAUAGCGCACAAGUAGAGUGAUCGAAAGAUGAAAAGCACUUUGAAAAGAGAGUUAAACAGCACGUGAAAUUGUUGAAAGGGAAGCGCUUGCGACCAGACUCGCCCGCGGGGUUCAGCCGGCAUUCGUGCCGGUGUACUUCCCCGUGGGCGGGCCAGCGUCGGUUUGGGCGGCCGGUCAAAGGCCCCUGGAAUGUAGUGCCCUCCGGGGCACCUUAUAGCCAGGGGUGCAAUGCGGCCAGCCUGGACCGAGGAACGCGCUUCGGCACGGACGCUGGCAUAAUGGUCGUAAACGACCCGUCUUGAAACACGGACCAAGGAGUCUAACAUCUACGCGAGUGUUCGGGUGUCAAACCCGUGCGCGCAGUGAAAGCGAACGGAGGUGGGAGCCCCCUUGCGGGGCGCACCAUCGACCGAUCCUGAUGUCUUCGGAUGGAUUUGAGUAAGAGCGUAGCUGUGGGGACCCGAAAGAUGGUGAACUAUGCCUGAAUAGGGCGAAGCCAGAGGAAACUCUGGUGGAGGCUCGCAGCGGUUCUGACGUGCAAAUCGAUCGUCAAAUUUGGGUAUAGGGGCGAAAGACUAAUCGAACCAUCUAGUAGCUG
RNAcentral lists this ribosomal RNA (897 nucleotides) under Aspergillus niger. RNAcentral describes it as "eukaryotic LSU rRNA". It matches the Rfam family "Eukaryotic large subunit ribosomal RNA", at positions 42 to 953 of the family's 3401-position model. The record is from RNAcentral. Lineage: Eukaryota; Fungi; Ascomycota; Eurotiomycetes; Eurotiales; Aspergillaceae.